GUCUAUGGCCAUGCUGCCCUGAAUAAGCCUGAUCCUGUCUGAUCUUGGAAGCUAAGCAGGGUCAGGCCUGGUACUUGGAUGGGAGACCAUCUAGGAAGACCAGGUGCUGUAGGCG
Molecule: ribosomal RNA, 115 nt
Filed under: Pteropus alecto (black flying fox)
Lineage: Eukaryota; Metazoa; Chordata; Mammalia; Chiroptera; Pteropodidae
Source: RNAcentral